GGACAUGGCAGCUGAGGGAUCGUCAGAGGACAGGGAUGCUGAAAGCCAACCGACUGACCCUGAGUCAUGAAAAGAUGGAAUCAUUGUUAUGAAAACCAAGUCAGGACCGUACAGCUCUGGUGUGUAGCGAGUGGCCAUCAGAUCCAGAUCCGGAAAUGCACGAUGAGACAUCUUCAGAGGAUGAAGAGGAUAAAGAGAGACAUACUUCGAGAGGAAUAACUGUGAUAUGCAUCUGCUGGCUUCGCAUGAAAAGUAAGGAGGUUGAUCAGCAGACCUGCAAAGAUGACAUUAUGGCUGACGUUAUUAGGGCUGUUGUAGUAAAAACCAUUUACCGUUGUUUGAAAAGAGAGCUUUUUGAAAACUCUGCAGCCUGUGCGAGAGAGCCUUCCAAUGAUCUCAGCCAUGUCUGUUUGACUUGGGAUUGCUCAAAAACAUUUCACCAGAUUAAGAUAAAUUUCUUCUCAUCUGAACAUGGUUCGGGUCCUAAAUAUAAUUAUGGCUGAAGCCUACAAACUGAAGCAGCUU
Mauremys reevesii (Reeves's turtle) is the source of this 525-nucleotide long non-coding RNA. RefSeq lists it as uncharacterized. NCBI's taxonomy places the organism in Eukaryota, Metazoa, Chordata, Testudines, Geoemydidae. The transcript has 3 exons. The record is from RefSeq and is a predicted model, not a curated record.